Pelobates cultripes (western spadefoot toad) is the source of this 350-nucleotide non-coding RNA. The record is from the annotation of a GenBank genome assembly. NCBI's taxonomy places the organism in Eukaryota, Metazoa, Chordata, Amphibia, Anura, Pelobatidae.
GUGGCGGUGGAGGAGGAGGAUGAGGUAGCCAACAUUGUUUAUAUAUAUAUAUAUAUAUAUAUAUAUAUAUUUUAAUUGGGGUAGCCCCCAAAAUAUUGGGACAUAUAAAAAAAGACAACUCUGUUCUACACAGUAGCUGUUGCCAUUAUAGUUGCACAGGAACUUUGUUGACUCUAGAGAACCUCGGGCAAAUCGUACAUCCCUGUGGCGGCGGCUUUGCAUGCAGAUGUCAUCCAUAUCAACUUUCAAUGCCAGUUUCGGCGCCUACCAUGGUGACCACGGGUAACAGGGAAUCAGGAUUCCAUUCCAUACAGGGACCCUGAGAAAUGGCUACCACAUGCAAGGAAGGC